GACGAACGCUGGCGGCGUGCCUAACACAUGCAAGUCGAACGGAAAGGCGCUGCUUUCUUGGGGUGUUCGCGUGGCGAACGGGUGUGUAACACGUGAGUAACCUGCCCUUGACUUUGGGACAACCUCAGGAAACUGGGGCUAAUACCGGAUAGGAGCUGCUGCUGCUUGGUGGGCGUCGGAAAGUUUCGGCGGAUUGGGAUGGACUUGCGGUUCAUUAGCUUGUUGGUGGGGUAGUGGCUUACCAGGGCUUCGGCGGGUAGCCGGCCUGAGAGGGUAGCCGGCCACAUUGGGACUGAGGUACGGCCCAGUCUCCUACGUUGGGCAGAGGUGGGAAAUAUUGCACAGUGGGCGGAAGCCUGAUGCAACAACGCCGCGUUCGGAAUGACGGCCUUCUUGUUGUAAACCGCAUUCGCCUAUUACGAAGCUUUAUUGACGUUAAUGAGUAAAGAAGCACCGGCUAACUACGUG
This 468-nucleotide ribosomal RNA is filed under the name uncultured bacterium. RNAcentral describes it as "partial 16S ribosomal RNA". It matches the Rfam family "Bacterial small subunit ribosomal RNA", at positions 28 to 507 of the family's 1533-position model. The record is from RNAcentral.